This is a long non-coding RNA of Asparagus officinalis (garden asparagus), 543 nucleotides long. RefSeq lists it as uncharacterized. The transcript is spliced from 2 exons. NCBI's taxonomy places the organism in Eukaryota, Viridiplantae, Streptophyta, Magnoliopsida, Asparagales, Asparagaceae. The record is from RefSeq and is a predicted model, not a curated record.
UUGUAUUCAAUAAGGUUCAUGCACAUCCUCACCACAUGAAGGGUUCUUUUAUGUACAUACAUUUGCCUUGAUGAACGCUCAGGAGAUAUCUUUCAAAGCUUAAGAAAUUCAGGUUUCAUGUUGAGGGUGUUGAUGUGCGGUUGCCUCUUUUCUUUUUCACUUAAACCUUGAGGAACUUGGCCUUGUAAUGUUCGAAAAUGGGAAGCCCAUACGACAUGAGGAGGCUAUUGGUAGGUAAUCAAUUGUCGUCGUUGUCAGAGCAUCAAUCAUAAGUCAAAAUUUCACUGCAGCAAGAAUUUUAUCAUCCAACUCCUUCUGAUCCUCCACAAACAUGAAAGUUGGCUUUUUUAACUUGGCAAAUAGAAGGGGUUCCAAUUUGUUCUUAGUCAAGACUGUGAGCAUCCGAACGUUCCAUGUAAUUAGUGAAACUGGUAUUACUUUUAUCUUCUUGAUAUUCUAGUUUGUGGUGGUAGUCGUCACCUGAGGUUAUGAUCGACAAUAUUUCUGUUAGGGAUCAAAAUUAACAUGUAGCCUCAUUCACUU